This 1482-nucleotide ribosomal RNA is filed under the name uncultured bacterium. Its description in RNAcentral is "16S ribosomal RNA". It matches the Rfam family "Bacterial small subunit ribosomal RNA". The record is from RNAcentral.
UGGCUCAGGAUGAACGCUAGCGGCAGGCUUAACACAUGCAAGUCGAGGGGCAGCGGGGAGGAAGCUUGCUUUCUCCGCCGGCGACCGGCGCACGGGUGAGUAACACGUAUGCAACCUGCCCCUGUCAGGGGGACAACCCGCCGAAAGGCGGGCUAAACCCGCGUACAUGCCACCGGGGCAUCCCGGAGGCAGGAAAGGCUUCGGCCGGACAGGGAUGGGCAUGCGGCGCAUUAGGCAGUAGGCGGGGUAACGGCCCACCUAACCGACGAUGCGUAGGGGUUCUGAGAGGAAGGUCCCCCACACUGGUACUGAGACACGGACCAGACUCCUACGGGAGGCAGCAGUGAGGAAUAUUGGUCAAUGGUCGGGAGACUGAACCAGCCAAGCCGCGUGAGGGAUGAAGGUACAGAGUAUCGUAAACCUCUUUUGUCAGGGAACAAAGGCGGGGACGUGUCCCCGGAUGAGUGUACCUGAAGAAAAAGCAUCGGCUAACUCCGUGCCAGCAGCCGCGGUAAUACGGAGGAUGCGAGCGUUAUCCGGAUUUAUUGGGUUUAAAGGGUGCGCAGGCGGUCUGUUAAGUCAGCGGUCAAAGCCCGGGGCUCAACCCCGGCCCGCCGUUGAAACUGGCAGUCUCGAGUUGGAGAGAAGUAUGCGGAAUGCGCGGUGUAGCGGUGAAAUGCAUAGAUAUCGCGCAGAACUCCGAUUGCGAAGGCAGCAUGCCGGCUCCACACUGACGCUGAGGCACGAAAGCGUGGGUAUCGAACAGGAUUAGAUACCCUGGUAGUCCACGCAGUAAACGAUGAAUGCUGGCUGUCCGGGGGGGAUUGACCCCUGGGUGGCGAAGCGAAAGCGAUAAGCAUUCCACCUGGGGAGUACGCCGGCAACGGUGAAACUCAAAGGAAUUGACGGGGGCCCGCACAAGUGGAGGAACAUGUGGUUUAAUUUGAUGAUACGCGAGGAACCUUACCCGGGCUCAAACGGGGAGUGACUCAGGCAGAGACGCCUGUUUUCCACGGGACACUCCCUGAGGUGCUGCAUGGUUGUCGUCAGCUCGUGCCGUGAGGUGUCGGCUUAAGUGCCAUAACGAGCGCAACCCCCGCGUGCAGUUGCUAACAGAUAACGCUGAGGACUCUGCACGGACUGCCGGCGCAAGCCGCGAGGAAGGCGGGGAUGACGUCAAAUCAGCACGGCCCUUACGUCCGGGGCGACACACGUGUUACAAUGGGUGGUACAGCGGGAAGCCAGGCGGCGACGCCGAGCGGAACCCGAAAUCCACUCUCAGUUCGGAUCGGAGUCUGCAACCCGACUCCGUGAAGCUGGAUUCGCUAGUAAUCGCGCAUCAGCCAUGGCGCGGUGAAUACGUUCCCGGGCCUUGUACACACCGCCCGUCAAGCCAUGGGAGCCGAGGGCGCUUGAAGUGCGUCGCCGCGAGGCGCGCCCUAGAGCGAAAUCGGUGACUGGGGAUAGAGUCGUAACAAGGUA